This is a long non-coding RNA of Salvia splendens (bonfire salvia), 481 nucleotides long. RefSeq lists it as uncharacterized. NCBI's taxonomy places the organism in Eukaryota, Viridiplantae, Streptophyta, Magnoliopsida, Lamiales, Lamiaceae. The record is from RefSeq and is a predicted model, not a curated record. The transcript is spliced from 2 exons.
ACAAUUUUUAUAAAUAAAAAGUAUUUUUUUUUAAAUUCGAUUUUUUUAAAAAAAUUGAUUUAUUGCGUCAUCUGACGCCCACUCGCUGGCCAGCGAGUGGGCGUCACGCAUGCAUCGGGGGCGCGCCACAUCGGAGCAGCAAAGGAAGCACAACUGAUCAGGAGAGCAUAAGCAAAGAUUGCCCGGAAAUCAGCGGUGGCGGCGGCGGCGCAAUAGCUCUCAUUCCGCCGAUUCCUAGCAACAGAGGGAGAGAUAUGAUCGAGUUUUGGGGAAGGGUUUAAGUCAUGUGAUUGUUGGGCCAAAAAGGUAAAUAAAUGGCUGGGCUGAAAAUUUCCAAGAUGGGCCAAUGGAGAAGAUAUCAGCUGCUCUAUAAUUAAUUGCUGUAUUGAUUAAGUAUUGUCAUUUAAUUUUCCAAAUAUUUAACUCAUACAACUUAGUGCUUCCGAACAUAAUUAUUAAAUCCAUUGAUUUAAUUGAUAUA